CGCUAUGCAUGCAGUCGAGCGAGGCUCCACCCUUCGGGGUGGAUGUCCUAGCGGCAAACGGCUGAGUAACGCGUGGGUGAUCUACCCCAGAGAGGGGAAUAACCCGCCGAAAGGCGGACUAAUUCCGCAUACGCUCCACCGUGUAAAGGCGGUGGUGGAAAGGGUUCCGGGCAACCGGCGCCGCUCUGGGAGGAGCUCGCGUCCUAUCAGGUUGUUGGUGGGGUAACGGCCUACCAAAUGCCAAAGACGGGUAGCUGGUGUGAGAGCACGACCAGCCAGAGGGGGACUGAGACACGGCCCCCACUCCUACGGGAGGCAGCAGCAGGGAAUCUUGCACAAUGGGCGAAAGCCUGAUGCAGCGACGCCGCGUGAGGGACGAAGGCUCUAGGGUUGUAAACCUCUUUUCUCAGGGAAGAGCAAGGACGGUACCUGAGGAAUAAGCCACGGCUAACUACGUGCCAGCAGCCGCGGUAAUACGUAGGUGGCGAGCGUUGUCCGGAAUUAUUGGGCGUAAAGGGUCCGUAGGCUGUUUUGUAAGUCUCCUGUGAAAACUCCAGGCUCAACUUGGAGCGGUCGGGGGAUACUGCAGGACUUGAGGCUGUCAGAGGAAAGCGGAAUUCCCGGUGUAGUGGUGAAAUGCGUAGAUAUCGGGAGGAACAUCAGUGGCGAAAGCGGCUUUCUGGGACAGUUCUGACGCUGAGGGACGAAAGCGUGGGGAGCAAACCGGAUUAGAUACUCGGGUAGUCCACGCCCUAAACGAUGGAUGCUAGGUUUGUGGGGUAUCGACCCCCUGCGAGCCAAAGCUAACGCGAUAAGCAUCCCGCCUGGGGACUACGGCCGCAAGGCUAAAACUCAAAGGAAUUGACGGGGGCCCGCACAAGCAGCGGAGCGUGU
RNAcentral lists this ribosomal RNA (894 nucleotides) under uncultured Chloroflexota bacterium. RNAcentral's name for it is "bacterial SSU rRNA". It matches the Rfam family "Bacterial small subunit ribosomal RNA", at positions 47 to 942 of the family's 1533-position model. The record is from RNAcentral. Lineage: Bacteria; Bacillati; Chloroflexota.